GGAAUAAAGUAUCCUACGUGUAGGAUUUUGUAUGUACCGUAUGAAUAAGCAUCGGCUAACUCCGUGCCAGCAGCCGCGGUAAUACGGAGGAUGCGAGCGUUAUCCGGAUUUAUUGGGUUUAAAGGGAGCGCAGACGGGAGAUUAAGUCAGUUGUGAAAGUUUGCGGCUCAACCGUAAAAUUGCAGUUGAUACUGGUUUCCUUGAGUGCAGUUGAGGCAGUCGACGCGGUGAAAUGCGU
RNAcentral lists this ribosomal RNA (238 nucleotides) under uncultured bacterium. RNAcentral's name for it is "partial 16S ribosomal RNA". It matches the Rfam family "Bacterial small subunit ribosomal RNA", at positions 443 to 691 of the family's 1533-position model. The record is from RNAcentral.